Molecule: non-coding RNA, 73 nt
Organism: Tulasnella sp. 417
Lineage: Eukaryota; Fungi; Basidiomycota; Agaricomycetes; Cantharellales; Tulasnellaceae
Source: the annotation of a GenBank genome assembly
GGGUCCUUAGCUUAAUUGGUUGAGUGCCUAGGCGUCACCUAGGAAGGUACCAGUUCGAAUCUGGUAGGACUCG